This 3648-nucleotide long non-coding RNA is filed under the name Selaginella moellendorffii. RNAcentral's name for it is "long non-coding RNA (SMOE_LNC000923)". Lineage: Eukaryota; Viridiplantae; Streptophyta; Lycopodiopsida; Selaginellales; Selaginellaceae. The record is from RNAcentral.
GACAAUGCAGCGCAGCUGCUGUCGAAAGGAACGAAGACAUGAGGAAUUCGAAACGGAUGAGAACGCUGCUCGGGAGUAUGGCCUUCUACAAGAACACCAACUGGGAUCCCUCUCAUUGUUGAGGUUUCUAUACUUCUAGAGGCCGAUAUACUACACUCUUCUUGCUAUAGAUCGUAGUAAUGUGAAACUGUGCGUGUCCACACACAUAUCUAUCUAUCUAUUUAUGUAUCAAUAUGUGUGUGGACACGCACAUCCUUUUCAUUGCCAAAUUGGCAGUUCAAAAUGCAUUUUUGACUACCAUUUUGCAGUAAAACUUAAACACCGCGCUGGCGGCGAUUGCUCGUGGAGAAAGCCCUCGUCCCACUGCUAGUAUUUCUUUCAUCGCGAUAGAAUGGAUAGAAUGGUGCCUGUCCAAGGUACACGCAAGGUUCUCCUAAUUGAGAGUAUCGAUGUGUUCAUAGAGGAUGAGUACAGUAGGCACGUCUUGUUCCUCACCAACAUAGACCAGAAGUUUGGUUACUUUGUGAGAGCUCUCUUUUUCUUCACGCCGAAUCCUGGGCUUCAAGUUCUCAAAGAGAUCUUGAGGAAAGGAUUGAGCAACGUGUUGGCUGCCUACCCUUGUUGUGCAGGGAGGUUAAGGAUCAAUUCAAGUGAUAAGCUUGAGAUCGAUUGCAACAACCAGGGUGCACGUUUGGGUGUGGGGAGCUGCACGCUGUCCAUCUCUGAGGUGAUUGCAGCAUUUUGAUGAGUUUUUUCUCGAGCCUUCCGACAAUCUGGAGUCGUUUGAGGACCUUCCUCUGAUGAACAUUCAGGUAAUGGGGGUGAACUCGUACUGUCUCAACGGGCACGAUGCUGACAGAGCUAAACUAUGAAUUUGCAGGUCAUCGAAAUUAUCAAUGGAUAUGCCAUCUCCAUGCUGCAACAUCACACCUUGGGAGAGGCAACAUCGGCAAUUUGCUUCCUCAUGGAUCAGAGAAAGAAUUAAAGCUUGUAAGCUUCAAACACACAUCCAAUUUCUUUUCUAGGGGUUAUAUCUUCAUUGUAGUUCUUCUUUUCCCGGGCAUCCAGAGAAGAAGGGAGAAGAUGGUCUCAAUCUUACGAAGGAGCCAGAGCCACCAUGAUCAGAGUGAUGAUUCCUUGGAUCCCAACACAGGCUUUACAAGAAAUCGCAGCACAAGCUACUUGCGAAGGAAAUCCUCUCCACCAUCAGAUGUUCCAAAGGGAUCGUUGGCUGUUUAUGUGGGCGAGGAAGGGAGGAGAACAGCUCACAUUUCCCGCUCAAAAAAUCCAUGGCUACGAACCUUGCACAGCUACUAUUGAUCUACUCCAGAUCUCUUUCAUCCCGCGCCUGAAUAAGAGAAUUUAGAGUCUAAAGAUCUCGUCGUUUCAUCACAACCUGAUAAUGAGAAACUCGUGUGAAACGCUCAAGGGAACAAAACAACUGGCUUACAACUGAUUUGGGGGACUAAAGGUAUUCAAAGCUCUUUACUUGCGUCUAGCUUUGCAGCUGAGUGGAGGAGAGAAGCAAAGAGUAGAACAUUCCUUCUCGCCAAACCAUGGUUUCGUAUUGCUUUGAAAACUUGAGAAUUGACUCAUGAAUGGCAGCUUGUUUCGCGGCUUCAUACACCUGUUCAAAGGAAGGGCUUACCUCUUCCUCAGUUGCUGAUAGCCGACCAUACCGAAUGUUGAUGGUAUCAUUGAAAACAAUCUGAGGUAACGAUGCGAAAUCUACAAGUGAUUAGUAUGAGAAGAGUUCACCUUUUUUUGCGGUACUACUCCAAUACCAAAUAAAAGACCGAGGCUAGCAUCUUCGAUAUUCUGAUCGCCUAUCUUCAACACGUUAAAAAUAUUGUGGUAACCUUGGUAAACGAAACAACGGUAGAAAGUGCAGAGGAGCAAACUAAUGCUGCCAAGCUGGGAGAAAUCGUUACCCAUGGGAACAAUCAAGAUAUUGAGGCCCCAGUCUGGUUUAAGAUGUGAAAACACCUUUGUACCUGUAAGGUAUAUAAAACGACAAGCUAGAAAGGCUCUUAAAACACAAAGUUAUGUAGGAAGUGGAUCGAUUGAAUUGAAUCAUACGUGGGGGAACAAUGUUCUUUGUGGGUAGGACAAAGACAAUGAAACCAGGAAUCUUUUUAUACAAAGAAGAAGUCCAACAAACCUGAGAUGGAUGCUGGAGAACCAUCGGUAUCCUGGCAUCUACCAAUCGCCACAAUCGUGUCCUGGCGGAUUGCCAUUGGCAACACCUAGCAUUCAGCCGACAAUCAUCGUAUAGAUAUGCCAGCGUUCUUCAUGAUCCUCCUACCGCCCUUUUCAUGAGAAAAAGCCACGUUGCAUAAGCGAGGACUGUGGAGCAUGGACUGGAGCCUGGGCCGUGGAGUGAAAAUCUCAAUUGCAUUGCAUUCACCACAAAACUAUAAACACAGAUAGAUAGACUAUACUCGGACCGGGUCGUUCAUAGUGGGGAUGGGCCGUGGGGCGGUCACUCGAACGGCGUGAAUAAGAAUAGAGUUCGAAAGGAGUGAGACUUCAACGCUCCUACAUCAACACUGGAAACUACUCUUAUUUUAUUAGCUCUAGUUGGCAGCUAAUGCUGCAAGAAUUUUUCGUGGUGGUCUCGAUGGUUCCCUUGCAUGUAAAACAGCAUCGUUGUCGAUGAUGAGCACAUCUCCUUUGCGCCAUUUGAAUGCAACUUUUUCCUCUUCCAUUAUCCUCUUGCAAGCUGCGAGAAACUUUUCAUUCAAAGGAGUGCCAUCACCAAAGCUUAUUCCAUGUUCUCCAGGUGGGGAGAUGAGCAUGAGCUCGUAAGUUGAACCAAUGCUGUUGAACCAAACCUUUCUUCCUUUUGACUUGCAAAAUUUUGUUCCAAUUUUUGGUCCCAUGAAAAGAGAUGCUGUGCCGUUUUGAUUCCACUCAAUGCGACUGUUCCCUUCUUUAGCCCUGAUUAAGAGUCUUAAAGAGGAAGAGUGGAGGAAGCGGAGGAGAAGUAAGUCUUCCUGAUUCGUAAUUUGCUUCGAUAACUUCACGGUCUCCGGCACCUUCAGGAGGCUCAAUGUCGCAAUAAAACAUCACCUUGCUUGGUGUCUUGAGUUGCUACAAGCAGGACAAACGAAGCAUGAGUAUAUAUAACUGCCAAGGUGGAAAGCAACACUCACGUAUGCCAUCUCGUUGUGGAAACCUAUAGGAAAAUGCACAAGCUUCUCGUUAGCCGUGACAACCCUUCCAAUGAUGGCUUUCUUAUGUGGCCCACGACCAUUGUAGACGAAAUUAUCGUACCCGAAGGCUUCAAGUACGUCGUUGAAAUCUGAGGCAGUGAGUACUUCGAAUCCACGAAGAAGGACAGCUCCACUCUGGUGCAGUGCAUGCUCAAUGUCUGCCUUUUGGCUCUGAAUGCCUUCGAGCAGCAUUAACAAUGCAGCGCAGCUGCUGUCGAAAGGAACGAAGACAUGAGGAAUUCGAAACGGAUGAGAACGCUGCUCGGGAGUAUGGCCUUCUACAAGAACACCAACUGGGAUCCCUCUCAUUGUUGAGGUUUCUAUACUUCUAGAGGCCGAUAUACUACACUCUUCUUGCUAUAGAUCGUAGUAAUGUGAAACUGUGCGUGUCCACACACAUAUCUAUCUAUCUAUUUAUGUAUCAAUAUGUGUG